This is a non-coding RNA of Pelobates cultripes (western spadefoot toad), 207 nucleotides long. NCBI's taxonomy places the organism in Eukaryota, Metazoa, Chordata, Amphibia, Anura, Pelobatidae. The record is from the annotation of a GenBank genome assembly.
UCCGCCUCUGAGCUCUGAAUGCACAUGCGCGGCAAGAGGCACGCGUGCGCAUUUAAACCGCCCGUAGGAAAGCAUUACUCAAUGCUUUCCUAUGGACGUUCAGUGUCUUCUCACUGUGAUUUUCACAGUGAGAAUCGCGGAAGCUCCUCUAGCAGCUGUCAAUGAGACAGCCACCAGAGGCUAGAUUAACCCUCAGUGAAACAUAGC